CACAUUGGGAGUCUCUCAUAGCCGACAUAAACCAUGUGAGCUACAUGGAGUCCAACGUCCAACUCACGUUGGGGAGAGCUAUCCUAUCCUUGCCAUCGGAGUAGGACCUUAAUAUUUUAUUCACUAUUGAUCACUUUAUAUAAAUCAGCUUCAAGCUCACAACCUACAGGGGCACAUAGUUCUAGGGAAGUACCAAUCCUUCUAUACCUCCCGCUCCGUGCUAAAGACUACUCCCAG
RNAcentral lists this long non-coding RNA (237 nucleotides) under Capsicum annuum. RNAcentral's name for it is "long non-coding RNA (CANN_LNC001330)". Lineage: Eukaryota; Viridiplantae; Streptophyta; Magnoliopsida; Solanales; Solanaceae. The record is from RNAcentral.